AGGACGAACGCUGGCGGCGUGGAUUAGGCAUGCAAGUCGCGCGACAGAUAAGGGCUUGCCCUUAUUAUGGAGCGGCGAACGGGUGAGUAACACGUGAACAAUCUGUCCCUUCAUUCCGGAUAAUUGGUCGAAAGACCUUGUAAUACGGGGGAGGAUCACUUCGGGGCAUCUCGAGGUGAAGGAAGGCGCAAGCCGUGCAGGGAGGAGUUCGCGGACUAUCAGGUAGUUGGUGGGGUAAUGGCCUACCAAGCCUACGACGGGUAGC
Molecule: ribosomal RNA, 265 nt
Filed under: uncultured bacterium
Lineage: Bacteria
Description: partial small subunit ribosomal RNA
Rfam family: Bacterial small subunit ribosomal RNA
Source: RNAcentral